Molecule: long non-coding RNA, 2326 nt
Filed under: Musa acuminata (dwarf banana)
Lineage: Eukaryota; Viridiplantae; Streptophyta; Magnoliopsida; Zingiberales; Musaceae
Description: long non-coding RNA (MACU_LNC000831)
Source: RNAcentral
UAGAGGUUGAGGCUAUGGCAAUGCGGGAAACGGAAUCUGAGGAGAAGGUUGAAGGAGCUGUGAUCGUCGAGAAGAUUGGAGAGGCUAUUACGACUCAGGAAGUGUCUAUUGGAGAUGCUAUCGCGAUGCGGGAAGUUGAGGAUGAGGGUAUGGCGAUGCAGGAAAUGAAAUCUGAGGAGAAGGCUGAGGGAGCAGCGAUCGUCGAGAAGAUUGGAGAGGCUAUUACAACUCAGGAAGUGUCUAUUGGAGAUGCUAUCGCGAUGCGGGAAGUUGAGGAUGAGGCUAUGGCGAUGCAGGAAAUGAAAUCUGAGGAGAAGGCUGAGGGAGCAGCGAUCGUCGAGAAGAUUGGAGAAGAAUUUGCCGCUGAAGUUAAUGGUGGCGGUGAGACAGCUUCGGAGAAAGGUGGUGAUUCAACUGUUCUUCCUUCAGAAAGCGUGGAAGCUCCAAAGGAUGCAGAUGAUUCUGCGAAUGAGACUGAUGUUGAUGAAGGUAUGUAUUAUGCAGCUUCGUUCUGACUGAACCGUUGGCAUCUGACUCUUCAUAGUAUGAAAAUGUGUACGUAAUUUUUUAUCAUAAAUUUGAAUGAACUAGGCAAAUAUGUUUCAGCAUCGAUUUGCUUCUCACACAGAAAGGGGAAAUAUGUUAUCUUGCAUUUUGGUGGCAUGUAGAAGAACUCAAUAUUGCUUAGGAAUUAUCUUGUCUCUCUUGUAAAAUUCUAUAAUUUCUCAGUGUGCUGGCCUGUAGCUUUGAGAGAAAAUAAAAUCACAUAAUUGGAAGGAUUAUCAGAUCCCACUUUCCUAAUCGAUGAGAAAAUAUCCACUGACACUGAAUACUGCUGUGCUUCACAUACCUACUAGUUAUUCUGUCUUGCUUCCAUUAAAGGCAUUUUUUUUAUUUCAUCUCUAAAAUCACCCACCACUUUUUCACCCUUAUGAUCAACCAUUUUUGCCGCAUCCACAGUUUCAACACAAACUGUAUCCAUUUGCCCAGUCUACCAUUGCAGCAUGAACUGUUUCUGACCAUUAGGUUGCUCUUUUGUUCUACGAACCUUUAGCUUGGGCCUCGGUUCAAUAGUUUUCGUAAAAGGUUAGUCCCAACACUGAUGGGAGGAUGAUGACGAAUCCUGACUUUUACCAGUUAGGCCUGGUUAUGCUUAAUUAGUAAGUUAAAGUAUCAUUGAGAGGAUCAUAACCAUGAAAAGUAAUAGACAAAUUCUUAGGGAUAUAGAAAAACCUAAAAAAGGAGUGACAGAACCCAUUAAUCUUAUGUGAAUCAAUGAUAUCAGCCUUCUAAUUGUUUGGAUUAUUUAAAAACUCAAAAGUUAACAUCAAAGAUGUCUCCAGAGAAGCACAAACAAAAUACCAGUCAUGAGAUGGAUAUGGUUGGACAUUCAAAAUGAGGUGUGUCAUUGGUUGGUGGUGUUUUGCAUUUGAAGUAAUAGAUUUAGCUUGAUGAUGGCUUCCUUCUAACCAGACUUUUGGCCUAGUUGAUGGAGAGGACCAAUGGACUUUUUUUUUUCACAGAGGCAUCUGUCUAGGUCAUUAUUGUCGGACAUUGGUAGAGUUGUAAAGUUAGGCGCUUUUGAUGGUUAAUUUAGUUGGAAUGAGGAAGUGGAAGUGGAUAUGCUCCAUAUCUCUGGGUCUUCAUUCUUUGGUUUUAGUAAAGGAUAGUGGAAAAGGAAUCACUGAGUACAGAAUGUGCAGAAUGAUGCCUAUUGGGAGUGAUCAAUUUGAUUGGACAGAAUGUGCUUCCACUUUAAUUAUAAAUUAUCAAUGGGAAUGGAUUUUGCGGUCUGAUUCAUUGUGGAGUCACUAAGAGGAAUGUGCAGCUAUCAUUUGACAUUUUCAACAUUACAUUUCUAUAGCUGUUUUUGAUGAAUUCUUCUCUUUCUCUUGUAUGCAAAUAAUUUAACAGAAAUAUGUAGUGUAAGAGAGAUUAAGUAACGUCAGUGUUGUGUGUCAUACAGUCAUGGAAGUGACAAACUUUGUAGAAUAAAUUUACUAUUUGAAUUAUCUUGUGAUCUCUUGAUUUGUAUUAAUAAAUAGAUAUUUAAGAGAAAUAUUAUGAGGUUUUAUGUGAACAUUUUCUUGAAAAAAUAUUGUUUACGUGGACCGAUGUUGGAUUAGCAUGUUCUUCCCUUAUACAGAUUUGUGUUCCUCUUCAAAACUGAUCCAGCUAAAAAAUGUACAAAAAAAAUCUUGUCUGUUUUCUGAUGCUGUAGGUCUAGAUGUUACUUAAAAUACAAUUAAAUUCAUUUUAUCAGGUACAGAACAAGAAGUCAAGAAUGAAGCUGAAGUCAGCGAUGGAAAUGAUGAUGAAGGUGUAG